Gossypium arboreum is the source of this 107-nucleotide small nucleolar RNA. It matches the Rfam family "Plant small nucleolar RNA R71". Rfam says of the family: R71 is a member of the C/D box family of snoRNAs containing the C (UGAUGA) and D (CUGA) box motifs. Multiple nearly identical copies of this snoRNA have been identified in Arabidopsis, and it is thought to function as a 2'-O-ribose methylation guide for 18S ribosomal RNA. Lineage: Eukaryota; Viridiplantae; Streptophyta; Magnoliopsida; Malvales; Malvaceae. The record is from Rfam.
AACCCAUGAUGAGGGCAUCUUCUUAAUAAGUCUUUGUAUCUUUCUAAUGCAUCAUAUAAUGUCUCUAAGUCAAUCCGGGUAAAAGAAGAAAUGUCAUUCCUCAACUU